UCUUAGACAAUGGGGGCAACCCUGAUCUAGCCAUGCCGCGUGAGUGAUGGAGGCCUUAGGGUUGUAAAGCUCUUUCAGCUGGGAAGAUAAUGACGGUACCAGCAGAAGAAGCCCCGGCUAACUCCGUGCCAGCAGCCGCGGUAAUACGGAGGGGGCUAGCGUUGUUCGGAAUUACUGGGCGUAAAGCGCACGUAGGCGGACUGGAAAGUCAGAGGUGAAAUCCCAGGGCUCAACCUUGGAACUGCCUUUGAAACUAUCAGUCUGGAGUUCGAGAGAGGUGGGUGGAAUUCCGAGUGUAGAGGUGAAAUUCGUAGAUAUUCGGAGGAACACCAGUGGCGAAGGCGGCUCACUGGCUCGAUACUGACGCUGAGGUGCGAAAGCGUGGGGAGCAAACAG
This 396-nucleotide ribosomal RNA is filed under the name uncultured bacterium. RNAcentral describes it as "bacterial SSU rRNA". It matches the Rfam family "Bacterial small subunit ribosomal RNA", at positions 362 to 775 of the family's 1533-position model. The record is from RNAcentral.